RNAcentral lists this ribosomal RNA (476 nucleotides) under uncultured Planctomyces sp. RNAcentral describes it as "bacterial SSU rRNA". It matches the Rfam family "Bacterial small subunit ribosomal RNA", at positions 914 to 1382 of the family's 1533-position model. The record is from RNAcentral. Lineage: Bacteria; Pseudomonadati; Planctomycetota; Planctomycetia; Planctomycetales; Planctomycetaceae.
CGGGGGCGUCACACAAGCGGUGGAGCAUGUGGCUUAAUUCGAGGCAACGCGAAGAACCUUAUCCUGGGCUUGACAUGGUCGGAUUAGCUCUCUGAAAGGAGAGUGACGCCUUCGGGUGGAACGAUCACAGGUGCUGCAUGGCUGUCGUCAGCUCGUGUCGUGAGAUGUCGCGUUAAGUCGCUAAACGAGCGCAACCCCUGUCCUUAGUUGCCAACACGUCAUGGUGGGGACUCUAAGGAGACCGCCGGCGUCAAGCCGGAGGAAGGCGGGGAUGACGUCAAGUCCUCAUGGCCUUUAUGCCCAGGGCUGCACACGUGCUACAAUGGGGCGUACAGAGGGAAGCCAAGCUGCGAAGCGGAGCAAAUCCCAGAAAGCGUCCCCCAGUUCGGAUUGCAGGCUGCAACUCGCCUGCAUGAAGCCGGAAUCGCUAGUAAUCGCGGGUCAGCAAUACCGCGGUGAAUGUGUUCCUGAGCCUU